UGGGGAAUUUUGGACAAUGGGCGCAAGCCUGAUCCAGCCAUGCCGCGUGCGGGAAGAGGGCCUUCGGGUUGUAAACCGCUUUUGUCAGGGAAGAAAUCUUCUGAGUUAAUACCUCGGGAGGAUGACGGUACCUGAAGAAUAAGCACCGGCUAACUACGUGCCAGCAGCCGCGGUAAUACGUAGGGUGCAAGCGUUAAUCGGAAUACUGGGCGUAAAGCGUGCGCAGGCGGUUUUGUAAGACAGAGGUGAAAUCCCCGGGCUCAACCUGGGAACUGCCUUUGUGACUGCAAGGCUUGAGUGCGGCAGAGGGGGAUGGAAUUCCGCGUGUAGCAGUGAAAUGCGUAGAUAUGCGGGGGGAACACCGAUGGCGAAGGCAAUCCCCCUGGGCCUGCACUGACGCUCAUGCACGAAAGCGUGGGGAGCAAAC
Molecule: ribosomal RNA, 427 nt
Filed under: uncultured bacterium
Lineage: Bacteria
Description: partial 16S ribosomal RNA
Rfam family: Bacterial small subunit ribosomal RNA
Source: RNAcentral